CGGAUCCAAUAAAUACAUCAAUUAAGGGUCAAGUUAGUAAUUUUUCUUACAUCUCCUCCUCCCGGAGCCCAAGUAUCAUAUACGCCCCCAAAAUAAAGAGCCUUGAAUACAUAU
This 114-nucleotide small RNA is filed under the name Olea europaea subsp. europaea. RNAcentral's name for it is "Antisense RNA which regulates isiA expression". It matches the Rfam family "Antisense RNA which regulates isiA expression", at positions 1 to 116 of the family's 187-position model. Lineage: Eukaryota; Viridiplantae; Streptophyta; Magnoliopsida; Lamiales; Oleaceae. The record is from Rfam by way of RNAcentral.